This 217-nucleotide ribosomal RNA is filed under the name uncultured bacterium. RNAcentral's name for it is "partial 16S ribosomal RNA". It matches the Rfam family "Bacterial small subunit ribosomal RNA", at positions 524 to 734 of the family's 1533-position model. The record is from RNAcentral.
UACGUAGGGUGCAAGCGUUGUCCGGAAUUAUUGGGCGUAAAGAGCUCGUAGGCGGUCUGUCGCGUCUGCUGUGAAAACUCAGGGCUUAACCCUGAGCUUGCAGUGGGUACGGGCGAGACUAGAGUGCGGUAGGGGAGGACUGGAAUUCCUGGUGUAGCGGUGAAAUGCGGCAGACUAGUCAGGAGGAACACCCGGUGGCGAAGGCGGGUCUCUGGGC